UUGAAUAACUUGGUGUUGAGCUGGCCCUAUUGGGCAUGUGCUCGCAUCAUAUUAUUUAUCUAUCUCUUGUGCACCUUUUGUAGUCUUUGAAGUGUUCGCAGUCAAUGCGGUUUGGGGCUUGGGCUUUGCGGUCCUUUCCCUGUUUGCUUCAAAGGCUAUGUUUUAUACACACUAUUUGAAGUUACAGAAUGUCUCUUAUUGACCUUUGUGUCAGUAAAUCAAUA
RNAcentral lists this unclassified non-coding RNA (224 nucleotides) under uncultured Mycena. Its description in RNAcentral is "sequence contains ITS1". Lineage: Eukaryota; Fungi; Basidiomycota; Agaricomycetes; Agaricales; Tricholomataceae. The record is from RNAcentral.